UACUGGAUGUCCUUCAAAGGUAAGCAGUUUUUCUUCCUUUGUUUCUGUGUCUGUGGCUGCUGCUUUUGGGCUUACUCUUAUUGGCUUCAGCCUAAGAUUGUGCCACUUUGCUGUUAUUGCUGUAUUUUCCUUCACAUUAUAGCUUUACAGCAUCACAAAGAGAAUGCACUGAAUAAGACACACUGCAGUCAGAUGCAGGCAGGGCCAACACAGGAGAAAGUGUGGUGUCUGUGCAAAACUGAAUCUAGCUCAGCAUAUUGGGGUAAUGCAAAGUCCAGCUGAAUGGCACCAUUUAAUGCUGAAAGAAGAGCCCAAGUGCCAGCCAGCACCAGGAGCUAAGGAGCACCCAUGGAGAAGGGUACAAAGGUGGCACUGAUGCACAGCACUUGGCUUGGCUCCCUCAAAGGUUGCAGCUGAGUCUCUGUUAACUUUUCCUCUACACAACAUUAUUGAGAAUUAUGCCAAGCUACUCAAUAGCAAUGCCUCCUUCUCACAGACCUUUCAUGAGAAAAAUAUCAGUAUCUGACAUCGCAGGCAUAAGCGAAGACAGUCAAAGGCACAGUUAGUUCUGUUAUAAGCUUGAGAACUUGGUUUUAAGUGUACCAAGGUCCUCAUCCUGCAAAGCACUUGGGGUUGUAUGGUUCAUGUAGCUGAUAGACAAGCCAGCAAGUUUUGUCUAAGCAGAGGCAAGAAUGAAACCCAGGUCUCUGGUAUGUUCUGUGCUCAGCUAUGAAAGCCGUCUCAUCCUUCUAUAUCCAUCUGGUUAUAGAAGUAUCUGGUAUAAAUGUGUCAACUGAAUUUGAAACUGUUACUUACAGUGCUACAAGGGGUGAUUCUUAUUUAUUACGAUUUUGUUAUCAGUAUUCUGGCAGAGCUGAAUUUCCUGUGCAGACACGCAGCAACCUGGUUCAUCACACAACCAAACCUUCAGCGUGGGGAAGUUGUUCUCAUUCACCUCUGUUUAUUUUCCAGCUCUUAUCCUAUCAGCCCAAGUGAAUCAAGGUGGGAGGAGGUGAAGCAAUUGGAAUGGGCAGUUUUUAAGGCUGCACUGAGUAUAAGGUUAAAAAAAAAUAUCAUAAAUCUUAUUUCAUGCUUUCUUGCCAAUUGUUAGAAAUGUGCAGUCCAUAUGAAUUCAUAUAACAAGGAGGGAAUGUUGGGAAAACCAAUAAAGAUUUUGUGGUCUUAACUAUAAUGAAUGUAGUUUGAUAUAGAGUCUGUUUUUCACUGCAUGGCAAAAUGAAUCAUAAAAUACUGGACCUUGAAACUCCUGCAUUUUUUAACAAUAGCCUGGGGACAGUUUACAGUGUAAUGAAUUGUAAUUAACCCACCUUCAAAAUCUUUUAUGAGUAUUUUGCCAAUUAGCUUCGCAUGCUUGCUAAUGACUCAUGGCCAGCGCAUGUCUUUACAGAGCAGGCUUUUACAGCACACACUAGCCUGUUAAGUCAGCAGAAGUAUGCAGGAUGGUGAGAUAGACACAGGUAAGACCCAGCCAGUCCUAGUGACAUACGUAUUUCAACAUUCAAAGAGCUUUUGCUGCUCUCUGAGACCCAAAAUAACUGUAAUAAUGUAUAGCAAUGUCAAAAGGCUUUGGUUUCCAAAGGAUUGCAAGGAAUGCAAAAGGGCUCAAGUCCUGACAUCUGUUGUUACUUAGUACCAACAUAUAUAAUGCUGCUAAUUGCUGAGCCAUCUUUGUUUUCCUUACUUAGCACUAGGGUUAGAAUUAUUUUAUUUUUGUGGUUCAUGGCUUCCUGCCACUUGCAACACAAGGUCCAUUCUAAAGAAAAUAAAACAACUACCAGACUGCCUAGUAGCAGUAUGUGGAGGGCUGGGGUUGUUUCUUCCCCUUUUUUUUGUUUUUUCUUCUCCCCCUUUUUUCCUUUGAAAUCUAGGGGAGGUAAGUGGAGACCAUGCCCCAAACAGAACCAGAGGAGGUAGGACCUGACUGGUGUCACACCUAACAAUUGUGUGAAGCAGUGCUCUAUUCCUUGCCAUAGCCAGAAAGAGAUGUGGAAGGAGGAAAUUCAAAGAGGAGGCAUGGCAUGAUCCUUGCCUGGUACCCUUCUUGCUCCAGGCAAUCUGUGGUUUAUGGACUUCCCAAAGCAGAGGCUGCCUCCAGACCAGUGUGUUUUAAUAGCCACCCAUGGAUCUAUCCUGCUUGAAUUUUUUUGAUCCUUUUCUCGAGCCAUUUAUAACUUCUGGCCUCCGCAACAUCCUGUGGCAAUGGGUUCCACAACUUAGUUAUGUUUUGCAUGGAAAAAAUACUUCCUUGUGUUGGUUUAAAUCUUCUUAUGUGAAUGUUUUGUUGGGUCCCCUCUAGUUCUUAGGAGAAGCCACAGAAAACAAUUUCUGUUUGUCUUUUCCUAUGUGUCAUUCAUGAUCAAACAGAUGGUGAAUGUAUCUCCUGCUUUUAUCAUCCCUUUCCACCCUGCAAACUCAUCUCCUUCAUUUCUCGUAUUUAUGGAAGCUGUUUCCCACCUCUCCUCAUCCUGAGUGCUUUUCAGCUCAACUCUUCUGGAGGCCAAGAAACUUGCUAUUAUCAUGACACAGUUUCAUAAUGAUUCCUGUCAUGGUGGAUUCUUAUUUUGCUCCUGCUGCAUUUCCAGAGGUGGUCAUACUUACCUAAAAUAGCUGGCAUGUUUGUAUCUGUGAGAAGCUGAACUCAGCCUGCUCUGCUUGAACAGAUGAAGACAGAUUUUUCUCUUUACCCAACCCCACUAUAGAUGCAUUUCUCCUGGAGAAUCAACUCUCACAGCAGUGUGAAACCAGUUAACGUUAGCAAGCCACUUCCUCGUUUCACAAAAUACUGCUGCUUUUCUGUUGUCUUGGAUCAUUCUCACUCCCCUGUCAGUCAGGUGAGUGGCUUAGCAGGAAGGGCCAAACUUGUGCCUCAUCCUUGUGAGCUGUGCAUCUGCCCUGUGACACAGCCCUCCCCUGGUGCAGCUGUGCAGCCAGACCUGUCACAUGGAGGUACCAUGCUGCUGGCUGUCACUCGUCCAAGGGCUAUUCUGCACACUAUUUUGCUCCUGGAAGUCCUGGAUAAUUGUAUCACAGCUAUGGGAGUCUGGCACUUUCUUACAGAGAACACAACUGCAAGCAGAUGGUGACCUUCAGAGCAACAUGUUUGGUCCAAAACUUUCCAAAGAAGAACUGUAGCAUGAAUAUAUUUUGAAACUCCAUGAUUGUGCUAUACUGACCUUCAUUGCAACUGCAAAUUUUUUAUUUUUUUUUUAUUCCCUCUCCUGUAUUUUAGAGUUUUUCUUACCUAGCUGCAUCUAUUCAGGUCAUGGAAAAAUAUUAUUUCUUUAUAAUUAAGUUCAAUAUGUCUACAGCCUAGAUAGACUGUAUUUACAGGGAUGGCUCUUUCUGCAUGUAGCAAGGGCUGCUUUACCAGAAGCCUAAUCCUGAAUCAGUAGGAAUGGUGGCAUUAAAUUAAAUGGGAGCAGGAUCACACCAUGCAUUAUUUUAGCCAAGCUAGCAUGCCACAAAGAAAUUUGUUGAAACAUUUAUUUAAAUAAAAAAAAAAGACAGAAACAUACGGUUAAAUAAUUAAUGGGAAUCAUGAAACACCUACACAGAAUAGUGGAAAGCAUGGAAAUCCUUAUACACGCAUUUGAAGUUACACCACAGAUUUCUUGGUUGUUUUUCUUUUUUGCUCUGCUAUUUUAUGUCCAUACAAAUAAUAUGGAUGGUGAUUAUGUGAUUGCAGAUUGCUCAGGUAACGUUUUCCUGUGUAGCAACCAGAAGUGAGUCAUGUUUAACAUGAAGCAAAGUUCACAGCUGCAGUGUUUCGUUCUGAGCAGUGCCAUUACCUAUAACACAGCAAAGCAUGGUGGGGGGGGGGAGCACACUGAUACUGCUGUCAUGCCAGAAAGCAAAGACAUAACUAAUUUUAGGGAAAGCAUGGGGGGAAGAGGUGGCUUCUGUCAACUAUAGCAGCAUUCUUACACUGCAGUAGAAACUGCUGGAACACUUUGUGUAACACCAACGUACUGCUGUGUAGAGAGACAUUAUUUUUGUGUACAGUUGCACAGAAAGGUUGAUCAUAUGUGCUACUGGGAUGAGAAGUAGUGGAUGUGCAAAGGACUCUCAGAGAGGCCAGUACAUUUUUUAUCUGCUGCUAUGUAUUCCCUUUAUCAGUUCAGGACAAUGAUCUGAGAAGGGAAGGAAGCCAAGCAUGGUGUACUGAAGAUGGGCUAAGGACUACAUCCUAUGGAAACUCCUGGGACAGAUGAAAUCCUCCCACUGAUCGACAUCUACCUUCUUUAUCUUCUUUAGCACUUAGCCUCUAAAACUUGGUGGAAAGUCAGAAGUCUGGAAGCAGCCAUUGCGUUCUUGAGUAAGGUGCUGUCCAUUUUACAACCAGCAUUUGUCUGUAGGUUCCACAAUGGCUCUUUUGUUUAAAUGCUCACUCCUUGCUAAGGAUUACUGACUGAAGUUCUUCAUUCUUGACACCACCCAGUUUCUCCCUGCUGACCAGCAUACUCCAAAGAUGGCUACUCAGGGGUCAGUGCUGCCAGCCAGCUGCUUAUCCUUGCAUGGGACAUCUGCCUGCUCCUUGCUAAAGCAGUGCCUGGGUGACCCAUCUGCUAAUCAAGAGGGACAGCUUUGAGGCCUAGCAGUUGCAUGGCUACCUCCCUGUAGCUACACAGGGCACAUUUCUGUCUUUCCCUCCCUCCUCUUUCAGUCCACUGUUAGUCCCCAUUCACUUGUUCCAUCAAACACAGUCAGUGUGAAAUUGGGCCCAGCAGGAGCACAUGUUUACACAUGAGAAAGAACUUUACAGCACCAGGCACUUAGAUGUCCUUCAAGCCUUCACCUCUCUAAGGAAUACCCUUUCUGAGCCAUCCUGUACUAACCUGGACAUUAGAAUAGAAUGUACACAAACAUACAUAGCAACUUAUCCCCUCUGAUUUAUUCAAAAUAAUUCUAUUUCUUUGUGUUUACCUUGAUUACUGUGAUCCAAGCAUUCAUUUCUUAGGCAGAAACAAACUUUUUUUUUUUUUUUUUUUUUUUUAAUAUAUACAAUCUCUGAUUUCUUUUUUCCCUGACAAAAAAAAUUUCCAACAUCCUUCUCCCAACCUAUGGCUGUCUGCUGAGACUCCAUGGGUAUGAUUCCUCUUCGACCAUUGCUGCUUGUGUGAGUAAAGAUUCAUAGCAGUAAGGCAUCCUCAGGUUUCGUAAACACCUAGAAGUUUCGUAUGGUCUUAUUCUUCUAAAACAACACCACCACUAUUAGUUUACUUUCUCCCUACAUUAAAACACAGCUGUCAUUCUAUGAAGACCACACAAAACUGCUGCAGACAUGACCAAUCAUUAGUUUUGCUUGAUGAUCAGACCUACUCACCUGUCAGCCUAGCUGGCUUGCUGAUGGCAACACUGCUUCUCUGAUGGCCCAAACAGAGGCUUCAAAUGAAAGAGAUAAUGAGAAUUUGGCAUAUUACUCUGAAGAGUCACAAUACAACAUUGCAGCUUCUUGGCACAAGUCACAGGUUUCAGCACCAAACACUGCUACAUCUUCUGACCUAUUUCCCUCACACUGCCCUAUGAGCUCCUCUAGCAAGCUCCACCUUAAGUAAGGAAAUUGACUGUGCUUAUAAUCACCAAUACUUAGCAAAUCUUUUUCUUAUUCCAGAAUAUGUCCAUCCACAGCAGUUUGUAUUACCAUUUUUGUACCAGCGCAUCCCUUUGCCUAGAGAGCUCUUCUCAACUCUUCUUCCUUAAUUUUCAGCUAUGACAUAUUCAUAGGCAGAAAUUCUGGUCACUGCCUUACUCAGCUAACCCCUCCCAAUGUCCCCUCUGUUGGCAAGCCCUGCUGUCCUUGUCCACCUGUUUCUGCUAUUGCUCCUACAUCAGCUCAUUUAUUUUGUUUCUUAGUGAGCAAAAAAGUGCACAACAUUGAAGCUGAACUCUCAUCUAUGCCUGGUGCACUGUCCCUGUCCGAUUUGUCCCCUGACUGCAUUUCCCUUUUCAUGGCUAUAGCAUAGCUGUGGCUCAGAGUCACCCUGUGAUUAGAGUACAUCCAAGUCUUCUUCCUCCCCAAGCUGCUUUAAGUGCAUAGCUCAUUACCAAAUGUUUUCUUAGUAACAAUACCCAGCUCUGCGGUGAUCUGCAUGAGCUAUGGGUCUGGGCCCCCUUCUCCAGAAGAGCCAGACUUUGCCAGCUGACACCAGCUGCAGAACCAGUUCUCAGUAUUCAGUGCACUUAGGGAGAAAGAAACAAGUAGUAAACUAAAGACAAACAGAGCUACACCACAGUCAACUGUAUUAUAACACUACCAACCAAGACAGCUGCUCCUGCCAACAUAGAAACAAGAUAGGAACUAGAGUGUUUCUAUUUUUGCAUUAAAAUAGAAACAGAGAUGGAGAGGACUUGAGGAAUUUAUCAAACCAAAUAAAUAUUUUUCAUUUUAAAAUUUGAAUGGAAUGGAAAUUAUAAUCUUCCACUGUUACCAUGGAGCUGAAUAAUUGUCCUUCCCCUCACUCGGCUUUUAGCAGUAAGGAAUUGGUUGCAGCAGGGCUGGAAGUUUGCAGUUUUCUUCCUCACCCAACCCAGCUCUCUUCUUUGAAUUACACUGCCUGGUUACUGACUCCAGAAAGAAGAGUCAAGUUUUGCAGUGAUUUUUUUUAAUAGAGUGUUAACUGAAAAAAGAGAACAAAAUGAACUUCUGGAUAGCAGGAACCACUGUUCUUCACUAUUCUUCCCUAAUUUAAAGCAGUGAACCUCCACUUUCAAAUAGAGAGGAGCCGCAGCGUCCAACUUAAGACUUUCCUGCGUGCCAGCUGCAAGCCAGUGGGAUGACUGGGAGGCUGGAGCAACACCAAAGCCGGGGAUUUUGAACCAGAUUGCUGCUACCACCCUCUUAUCUCAGAAGAAGAGCACUAGAGGCUGCCUAAACCUUGCUAGAAAAGGCCCAGUGAGGUGGAGCACUUUCUUGCAGUGACGUACAGAACAUCCCAGCCAAACCCAAAAACUGCUUUAAAAGUGAGGGUGUAGUACGCAUGGAACAGACUGUCAUUAACUCUGGAUAUUUCACUGCCUCAAGAGUAGAACAUUUCUGCUUGGUCAAAUAGAUAAUAAAAUGGAUUAACAAAUAA
Long non-coding RNA from Centrocercus urophasianus (Greater sage-grouse), 7094 nucleotides. RefSeq lists it as uncharacterized. NCBI's taxonomy places the organism in Eukaryota, Metazoa, Chordata, Aves, Galliformes, Phasianidae. The record is from RefSeq and is a predicted model, not a curated record. The transcript is spliced from 2 exons.